UAGUCGUUGGGUCCCUUGAGGACUUAGUGACGCAGCUAACGCAAUAAGUAGACCGCCUGGGGAGUACGGCCGCAAGGUUAAAACUCAAAUGAAUUGACGGGGGCCCGCACAAGCGGUGGAGCAUGUGGUUUAAUUCGAUGCAACGCGAAGAACCUUACCUGGUCUUGACAUAUCUAGAAUCCUGCAGAGAUGCGGGAGUGCCUUCGGGAAUUAGAAUACAGGUGCUGCAUGGCUGUCGUCAGCUCGUGUCGUGAGAUGUUGGGUUAAGUCCCGCAACGAGCGCAACCCUUGUCCUUAGUUACCAGCGGUUUGGCCGGGAACUCUAAGGAUACUGCCAGUGACAAACUGGAGGAAGGCGGGGACGACGUCAAGUCAUCAUGGCCCUUACGACCAGGGCUACACACGUGCUACAAUGGUAGGUACAGAGGGCAGCUACACAGCGAUGUGAUGCGAAUCUCAAAAAGCCUAUCGUAGUCCAGAUUGGAGUCUGCAACUCGAGGACCA
RNAcentral lists this ribosomal RNA (504 nucleotides) under uncultured bacterium. RNAcentral describes it as "bacterial SSU rRNA". It matches the Rfam family "Bacterial small subunit ribosomal RNA", at positions 817 to 1320 of the family's 1533-position model. The record is from RNAcentral.